GUAGGGAAUAUUGCGCAAUGGACGAAAGUCUGACGCAGCGACGCCGCGUGAGUGAUGAAGGCCUUAGGGUCGUAAAGCUCUGUUGAAUGGGAAGAAAAAAAUGACGGUACCAUUCGAGGAAGGACCGGCUAACUUCGUGCCAGCAGCCGCGGUAAUACGAGGGGUCCUAGCGUGGUUCGGAAUCAUUGGGCGGAAAGGGUGUGUAGGUGGCCAUGUAAGUCAGGUGUGAAAGCCCCGGGCUCAACCCGGGAAGUGCACUUGGUACUGCGUGGCUUGAGUACCGAAGAGGGUAGUGGAAUUCCAGGUGUAGUGGUGAAAUACGUAGAUAUCUGGAGGAACACCGGUGGCGAAGGCGGCUACCUGGUCGAGUACUGACACUGAGACACGAAAGCAUGGGGAUCAAACAGGAUUAGAUACCCGGGUAGUCC
RNAcentral lists this ribosomal RNA (428 nucleotides) under uncultured bacterium. Its description in RNAcentral is "partial 16S ribosomal RNA". It matches the Rfam family "Bacterial small subunit ribosomal RNA", at positions 354 to 796 of the family's 1533-position model. The record is from RNAcentral.